Long non-coding RNA from Gasterosteus aculeatus aculeatus (three-spined stickleback), 1699 nucleotides. NCBI's taxonomy places the organism in Eukaryota, Metazoa, Chordata, Actinopteri, Perciformes, Gasterosteidae. The record is from Ensembl.
AGAAAUCUGUAGACAUCAUCGAUCCGUGAUUAUAUUCAGGGUGGAAAAAAAUGACGCGUUUCCGAGUCUGACCGCGCGUUGCUCAGCACCACCUGCUUCUCCACCUCGCACCGUGUACUGCUCCACCUCGCACCGCGCGCUCCUCCACCUCGCCAUCAAACAGUGCAGCGGACCUCGUAGUCCAUCCUGCCCCUGUGGCUCACUGAACAAGGUAACGUGGAUAUUAUCACUGUCAACAUUACUGUGUUCAGUCACUUUACAUACAACACCUAAUAUGCCUUCUCUUUUACUACAUUUUUGUGCUUCCUUGGGCUGAACCCAGAAAGAGGGACAAAGGACAACCAGGGGACGGUGGUGUCUACAAGGACAGGGAAACUGGUCCAGAAGGAGGCAACUGUCAAUCCCCAUGUGGCCACCCUGAUAAAAAACCUCUUGGACUUUGAGUGGGGCUUCAUGUGGCAUAUUUCCACACAGGACACUGGACAUUGGAAAAAAGAACACCAAGAUGGAGUGUGUUACCUCUCCUUCCUCCCUAGUGCCUGACCCUCUCGGUGCUAUCGCUCCCUCGGUUCCAUCCGAGUCGACACUGCGUGCCGGCAGGAAACCCAGCCAAGUAGGCUUCCUGAGCGAGCGGGAGAGGAAGUACAGUAAUAAGGGAUAAAGGAAGGGGGUGUGGGGUUUAAAAAUAACCCGCCUAUAUAAGCUGAGGCAGGAGCCCACUCUGACUCUCUCUCUGCUGCGGACAGAGGCCUCCGCGUUCUCUCUCGCACUCGAAAAGAUCAUCACAGCUUUCCUGCCGUGCGGAGGAAAGUGGAGAAGCCAAAGCAGGUGUUACCAAGAAGUUUAACAAAGACAUAAACUAUGUGCGCCGAGGAGAGACGCUUUAUCCGCAGAACAGGCUGCAACAACUUUGAGUAAGGGGAAAAACUCCUCCGUCCUCGGUAUCACUGCCUUCAGCAUGUUUCCAACCCCUCCACGGGACCGGCUUCGCUCUCCACAUGAAGAACAUCUGUGAAUAUGACAACGCGCCGUUGGCUCUUGGUGACUAGCGGACCAUCUUGCUGAAACAGCUGAUCGAUGCAGACACACGCGGCAUCCUCUCCGUGUUAACAACAUCUGCUCUAUCAGACCCGAGAAACCCUAGAAAAUUAUAUGGAGAGCAAAAAAACCUGACUUUCAACACGUUGUCAAAAAGCUGUGGUAAUUUCACUUGUUCCUGGAAAGCAUCCUAAUGUGAGACUCGACGGAGACGGAAGGCCCCGAGCCAUCUGGCGAACCCAGUUUUCAGAUCUCUGUAUUUUAAAAAUAUUCAUGAGAACUAGAACAACGCAACACACGCUUACAUCUGCUUAAUGUGUCCUGCCACCACACAGUGUGUGUCACAGCAUUUACCCGUCCCUUCGCUGCAGGGUACAGCAUGUCCCGUAACACCUGUUGAAAUUACAUAGCUAUUAGCACAAACCAUUUAGCAUGUUGGCAGAAUAUAUGUAGGCUAGCAAGAUUGACAUCAUGGAGUAUGUACUGUACUUGCUUACCGGUACUAUAUUAUAAUGGCUCUGGACUGGAUUAGAGAUGAAAUAAAAAAGGCCCUCAGCUUGUGAACCUCUCAUGUGUAAAGUUCCAAAUCACAUACAUUUGAGAAAUUCAACAGCAAUGUCUCUUAUCAGAAAGUGUGACCUGGGUACUCGGGAUAAUAAAC